Molecule: long non-coding RNA, 730 nt
Organism: Gymnogyps californianus (California condor)
Lineage: Eukaryota; Metazoa; Chordata; Aves; Accipitriformes; Cathartidae
Exons: 3
Source: RefSeq, a predicted model, not a curated record
CCGUCCCUCUCAAGCCCCGGGAGACCCGGCACUCCCUCUACAGCUCCCCCGCUAGGAACGGAAGCGUCCGGGGAAACGCCGUUGAGUUGAGGAUGUCCAGGGGAAGGUGACAUGACCCCGCAAGGUUUCCAGGCUAAAUUAGACCUCCGAAAGUGUUCGGCACCUUAAGACACCGAGUGAGCAGUAGAUCUCAAAGCUUUCCAGUGGCUUCCUCAGGAUGGGCGUGCGGCCGUAAUCUCUGCCACGGAUCCCAGCCAUACAGAUCCAAACCGUGCUAAUGUAUUUACACCCCGUUGUGGCGAGGACACAACUGCCACCUCCUAGAUGGGCUCCUUCCACUUCUGCACAAAUACCUGAUCCUUUUUCCAGGUAUAUCAGGUUUUCUCACCAGCUGCUCUAUCUAGAGUAUGAGCUAAUACCUGCUGCCAUAGGCCACUGGGAGACAUUUUAGCAGGGAUGUGAGAAGGGUGGACUGGAAAGCUGUUUGAAAAUCUGGAAAACGGCAUUGUUCGGUUCAGAGGUGGACAGCGAAGGUGUUUGGUCACUCUGUGUUAGUCCAUUGGGGAGAAGAUAUACCUAAAUCUAAAUUAACCUGUUUUAAAAAUCGCUACUCCUGCUUUUCAAAACUGCCUUUUAAAGGCAUCAAUAUUGUAAUAAACUCCAUUUAUACACUUGGGGUUGUAAUACUGUGUCACUAACAGAUGGAGAGGUAAAGAAACACUGGGUAGUC